UACGAGUGCUCCAAGCGUUAUCCGGAAUUAUUGGGCGUAAAGGGUGUGUAGGCGGUUUUGUUAGUCGGUUGUUAAAGCUCCCCGCUUAACGGGGAAAAUGCAAUCGAAACGGCAAAUCUAGAGGAUGCGAAAGGUGAACAGAACUCAUAGUGUAGGGGUGAAAUCCGUUGAUAUUAUGGGGAAUACCAAAUGCGAAGGCAGUUCACUGGCGCACUUCCUGACGUUGAAACACGAAAGCGUGGGUAGCGAAUGGG
This 254-nucleotide ribosomal RNA is filed under the name uncultured bacterium. RNAcentral describes it as "partial 16S ribosomal RNA". It matches the Rfam family "Bacterial small subunit ribosomal RNA", at positions 524 to 776 of the family's 1533-position model. The record is from RNAcentral.